UGUCAAUGUAUGCUAACACAUGCAAGAAGCCAAGCUUUGCAACCAGAGCGAUUCUCCUGAGUACCGAGACACUGAAGGCAAGGGGCCUGUAUGGUGAAGCAGCCAUGGAGUUUAUCAGGAUGACUGGAGAGGACUCAGAUUUGAGGAGUGCCCUGUUCUUAGAGCAGGGUGCACAUUGUUUUAUCAACAUGAAGACACCAAUGGCUCGUAAAUACGCGUUUCACAUGAUACUGGCUGGCCACAGGUAUAGCAAGGCUGGACAG
Molecule: long non-coding RNA, 263 nt
Organism: Anneissia japonica
Lineage: Eukaryota; Metazoa; Echinodermata; Crinoidea; Comatulida; Comatulidae
Exons: 3
Source: RefSeq, a predicted model, not a curated record